This 468-nucleotide ribosomal RNA is filed under the name uncultured bacterium. RNAcentral's name for it is "partial 16S ribosomal RNA". It matches the Rfam family "Bacterial small subunit ribosomal RNA", at positions 28 to 507 of the family's 1533-position model. The record is from RNAcentral.
GACGAACGCUGGCGGCGUGCUUAACACAUGCAAGUCGAACGGAAAGGCCCUGCUUUUGUGGGGUGCUCGAGUGGCGAACGGGUGAGUAACACGUGAGUAACCUGCCCUUGACUUUGGGAUAACUUCAGGAAACUGGGGCUAAUACCGGAUAGGAGCUCCUGCUGCAUGGUGGGGGUUGGAAAGUUUCGGCGGUUGGGGAUGGACUCGCGGCUUAUCAGCUUGUUGGUGGGGUAGUGGCUUACCAAGGCUUUGACGGGUAGCCGGCCUGAGAGGGUGACCGGCCGCAGUGGGGCGGAGAUACGGCCGAGACUCCUACGGGAGGCAGCAGUGCGGGAUAUUGCACACUGGGCGGAAGCCUGAUGCAGCAACUCCGCGUGGUGGAUGACGGCCUUCGGGUUGUAAACCGCAUUCGCCUGUGACGAAGCGUGAGUGACGGUAAUGGGUAAAGAAGCACCGGCUAACUACGUG